Molecule: ribosomal RNA, 547 nt
Filed under: Hansenula anomala
Lineage: Eukaryota; Fungi; Ascomycota; Saccharomycetes; Phaffomycetales; Wickerhamomycetaceae
Description: Wickerhamomyces anomalus partial large subunit ribosomal RNA
Rfam family: Eukaryotic large subunit ribosomal RNA
Source: RNAcentral
GCGGCAAAAGCUCAAAUUUGAAAUCUAGCACCUUCGGUGUUUGAGUUGUAAUUUGAAGAUGGUAACCUUGGGUUUGGCUCUUGUCUAUGUUCCUUGGAACAGGACGUCAUAGAGGGUGAGAAUCCCGUCUGAUGAGAUGCCCAUUCCUAUGUAAGGUGCUAUCGAAGAGUCGAGUUGUUUGGGAAUGCAGCUCUAAGUGGGUGGUAAAUUCCAUCUAAAGCUAAAUAUUGGCGAGAGACCGAUAGCGAACAAGUACAGUGAUGGAAAGAUGAAAAGAACUUUGAAAAGAGAGUGAAAAAGUACGUGAAAUUGUUGAAAGGGAAGGGCAUUAGAUCAGACUUGGUGUUUUACGAUUAUCUUCUCUUCUUGAGUUGUGCACUCGUAUUUCACUGGGCCAGCAUCGAUUCGGAUGGCAAGAUAAUGGCAGUUGAAUGUGGCUUCACUUCGGUGGAGUGUUAUAGCUUCUGCUGAUAUUGCCUGUCUGGAUCGAGGGCUGCGUCUUUUGACUAGGAUGCUGGCGUAAUGAUCUAAUGCCGCCCGUCUUGAA